CUGAUAGAUUUUGCAUGUGACAACGGUUAUCUCUGCGUCGAGAAGGUUGGAGAGGAUAUCCCAAAGACGACAGCUGCGGAAUUCGAUGAACAUGACAGGAAUCUGCUUGUAGAAGCGGUGUUUAUAUAAAGCAGUGCCGAACAUGGAUGUGGGACGGCAUCUGGCACUGUACUUUCGAAAAAUAUCUGGUUAAGUAAGUGCAAGUGGUAUGAAUAAAGUACUAAAAAAUGGC
Long non-coding RNA from Ornithodoros turicata, 232 nucleotides. RefSeq lists it as uncharacterized. The transcript is spliced from 3 exons. The record is from RefSeq and is a predicted model, not a curated record. Lineage: Eukaryota; Metazoa; Arthropoda; Arachnida; Ixodida; Argasidae.